RNAcentral lists this ribosomal RNA (465 nucleotides) under Vreelandella stevensii. Its description in RNAcentral is "partial 16S ribosomal RNA". It matches the Rfam family "Bacterial small subunit ribosomal RNA", at positions 338 to 795 of the family's 1533-position model. The record is from RNAcentral. Lineage: Bacteria; Pseudomonadati; Pseudomonadota; Gammaproteobacteria; Oceanospirillales; Halomonadaceae.
CCUACGGGUGGCAGCAGUGGGGAAUAUUGGACAAUGGGGGGAACCCUGAUCCAGCCAUGCCGCGUGUGUGAAGAAGGCCCUCGGGUUGUAAAGCACUUUCAGUGAGGAAGAACGCCUGGUGGUUAAUACCCAUCAGGAAAGACAUCACUCACAGAAGAAGCACCGGCUAACUCCGUGCCAGCAGCCGCGGUAAUACGGAGGGUGCGAGCGUUAAUCGGAAUUACUGGGCGUAAAGCGCGCGUAGGUGGCUUGAUAAGCCGGUUGUGAAAGCCCCGGGCUCAACCUGGGAACGGCAUCCGGAACUGUCGAGCUAGAGUGCAGGCGAGGAAGGUAGAAUUCCCGGUGUAGCGGUGAAAUGCGUAGAGAUCGGGAGGAAUACCAGUGGCGAAGGCGGCCUUCUGGACUGACACUGACACUGAGGUGCGAAAGCGUGGGUAGCAAACAGGAUUAGAUACCCCAGUAGUC